GCCCAAGUGGCGGAAUUGGCAGACGCGCCGCACUCAAAAUGCGGUUCUUCACGGAGUGUGGGUUCGAGUCCCACCUUGGGCA
Molecule: transfer RNA, 82 nt
Filed under: Kocuria rosea
Lineage: Bacteria; Bacillati; Actinomycetota; Actinomycetes; Micrococcales; Micrococcaceae
Also listed under: 3 other names
Description: tRNA-Leu
Rfam family: tRNA
About the family: Transfer RNA (tRNA) molecules are approximately 80 nucleotides in length. Their secondary structure includes four short double-helical elements and three loops (D, anti-codon, and T loops).
Source: RNAcentral